Long non-coding RNA from Notolabrus celidotus (New Zealand spotty), 1185 nucleotides. RefSeq lists it as uncharacterized. NCBI's taxonomy places the organism in Eukaryota, Metazoa, Chordata, Actinopteri, Labriformes, Labridae. The record is from RefSeq and is a predicted model, not a curated record. The transcript is spliced from 4 exons.
CCCUGUCUCUAUACUUUCACUUACAACAAAUAGCUCCUCUGCUCAGCUGCUGAUCACAAUUCUGUUUUGUUCACGCUGCCAGGUGGAUGGGGCAAAAUCCAACAACGGAAAGGGAAAUGUGGACAAAAAAUCGAGCUGCGGGCUGACUCCUUUCAUAACCUGGAAGGGGUCUCUCACAUAGUGUGGUCUGUCACAUUGAAAGGUCAGACUGAGGUUCUGACCCUCAUCGACAUCGACAUCGACAGUGGGACAAAAGACCAUGACUUCCCUAAAAGUUUCAAGGAAAAAGCCUACCUGAACACAACAUCAGGCGCUCUUACUAUCGGCCCUCUCAGCAAAGAUCAUAGUGGCGUGUACCUGCUGGAUAAAACUGACGCAAACAACAUAAUGCACAGUUACAGCUUCAAUGUUACCAUUGAGCUUGGUACCGACCCACUGACUGCCGACCCACUGACUGCAGGACCAGGAAAAGAAAAUACCGAACACCAAAGGAACCACAUUGCUGCUGUUGUAUCAGUUAGCCUCUUUGCUGCUGUUUUAAUUCUGCUUGGAGUUUGUGCACUGAGGGUCAAUGCAAAGACACCGGCUGGGAGAAAGUAAACAUUCAGGGUGUGUUGAUCUGAUGUCCUCUGCAACACUCCACCUUCAAACAGACCAAGACAAGAGAUGAUCAAGGAUGAAUUUCACAGACAAGAUAAACCUACUGACAAACUGUCGGAGAGGAAACUGCACUACCACCGUGCUCUUAUAUUUGUUGUCUUUAAGGAAACCAACAUGCCAUAUCCUUUAAAAAGUCCCCUCACUUCAAAAAGUGCUUUACAUCAUAAAAACCCACAAUAAUAAACAAAGAAUGGGGGCAGACAUAUAGAGCUAAAGACAAUUUAAGAGGAACUGCUGAGUAAAAGUAAAAGAGAAACUACUAAAAACAAUUAAAGCUGGGGUUGGUAGUCAGAUUUAGAUACACUUUUUGUUAUACUGGUUAAAAUGAUCUUCAUGUCCCGAUGGCAAUCAAUGUGUGUUCCUAAAAAAGAGCAAAAAAAAGCCGCUAUCUUCAGCCGGAGUAAAUCUGGGAAAGCACCAAUCAAUCUCCGUUUUUGGGUCCCAAAAUUUUAAACCAAUCAAAUCCCGUCCUGCCGUUCUGCCCACCUCCUGUGCGUACAUUUCCCCAGCGUGCACUCCGAGUCC